This 484-nucleotide ribosomal RNA is filed under the name Williopsis saturnus. RNAcentral's name for it is "Cyberlindnera saturnus partial 26S ribosomal RNA". It matches the Rfam family "Eukaryotic large subunit ribosomal RNA", at positions 122 to 607 of the family's 3401-position model. The record is from RNAcentral. Lineage: Eukaryota; Fungi; Ascomycota; Saccharomycetes; Phaffomycetales; Wickerhamomycetaceae.
CUGGUACCUUUGGUGCCCGAGUUGUAAUUUGAAGAUAGUUUUCUGGUGCUGGCCCUUGUCUAUGUUCCUUGGAACAGGACGUCACAGAGGGUGAGAAUCCCGUCUGGCGGGGUGUCCAGUGCUUUGUAGAUUUCUAUCGACGAGUCGAGUUGUUUGGGAAUGCAGCUCUAAGUGGGUGGUAAAUUCCAUCUAAAGCUAAAUAUUGGCGAGAGACCGAUAGCGAACAAGUACAGUGAUGGAAAGAUGAAAAGAACUUUGAAAAGAGAGUGAAAAAGUACGUGAAAUUGUUGAAAGGGAAGGGUAUUAGAUCAGACUUGGUGUUUUGUGAUUAUCUUCCCUUCUUGGGUUGUGCACUCGCAUUUCACUGGGCCAGCAUCGGUUCGGGUGGUAAGAUAAUGACAUUGGAACGUGGCACUACCUUCGGGUGGUGUGUUAUAGCCCUUGUUGAUGUUGCCUACCUGGACCGAGGACUGCGGCUUUUGCC